GCGAGACGAAACUACACCACGUGGAACGCUGAGACCAGAGAACACGAAACAGCAAAUACAUAGUACCGGACUCAGCGAGCGCUGGAACGGCAAUCUUUCAAGGCAGCUACACUCUGAAGACAAGGUCAUCUCUUGCUGACGCGUCCACUCCUUGCAACACCCACACCCCCCGGAUGUGCCAGUGUUUCUUCAUGAUCUUAUACACUCGCCUGUUUUGGACAUCGAAGGUUCCUAUGCACCUGAUCACUUUCUCUCCCACUUUGGAUAAUCCGCACAGAUG
Long non-coding RNA from Bufo gargarizans (Asiatic toad), 280 nucleotides. RefSeq lists it as uncharacterized. The transcript has 3 exons. The record is from RefSeq and is a predicted model, not a curated record. NCBI's taxonomy places the organism in Eukaryota, Metazoa, Chordata, Amphibia, Anura, Bufonidae.